AUUGAACGCUGGCGGCAUGCCUUACACAUGCAAGUCGAACGGCAGCACGGGAGCAAUCCUGGUGGCGAGUGGCGAACGGGUGAGUAAUAUAUCGGAACGUGCCCAGUCGUGGGGAUAACGUAGCGAAAGCUACGCUAAUACCGCAUACGAUCUACGGAUGAAAGCGGGGGAUCGCAAGACCUCGCGCGAUUGGAGCGGCCGAUAUCAGAUUAGGUAGUUGGUGAGGUAAAGGCUCACCAAGCCGACGAUCUGUAGCUGGUCUGAGAGGACGACCAGCCACACUGGGACUGAGACAGGCCCAGACUCCUACGGGAGCAGCAGUGGGGAAUAUUGGACAAUGGGCGAAAGACCUGAUCCAGCCAUGCCGCGUGUGUGAAGAAGGUCUUCGGAUUGUAAAGCACUUUAAGUUGGGAGGAAGGGUAGUAACCUAAUACGUU
This 437-nucleotide ribosomal RNA is filed under the name uncultured bacterium. RNAcentral's name for it is "bacterial SSU rRNA". It matches the Rfam family "Bacterial small subunit ribosomal RNA", at positions 30 to 470 of the family's 1533-position model. The record is from RNAcentral.